AUGUUUGUUUUGACAGCAUGCCCGCCAAAGCUGGAACAACCCAGCCAAGAUUAACAUGGCGCCUGCAAGAGGGUGACGUGCAAAGUCAUGUAAUGUUCCAUGUUGUU
Molecule: small nuclear RNA, 107 nt
Organism: Chionomys nivalis (European snow vole)
Lineage: Eukaryota; Metazoa; Chordata; Mammalia; Rodentia; Cricetidae
Source: RefSeq, a predicted model, not a curated record